GACGGAGGGGGCAAGCGUUGUUCGGAUUGACUGGGCGUAAAGGGUGCGUAGGCGGUUGAGUAAGUCUGGCGUAAAAUCUUCUCCGCUCAACGGGAAGACGCCGCUGGAAACUGCUCGGCUGGAGUUCGGGAGAGGUGAGUGGAAUUCCUGGUGUAGCGGUGGAAUGCGUAGAGAUCAGGAAGAACACCGGUGGCGAAGGCGGCUCACUGGCCCGAUACUGACGCUGAGGCACGAAAGCUAGGGGAGCAAACGGG
RNAcentral lists this ribosomal RNA (254 nucleotides) under uncultured bacterium. RNAcentral's name for it is "partial 16S ribosomal RNA". It matches the Rfam family "Bacterial small subunit ribosomal RNA", at positions 524 to 776 of the family's 1533-position model. The record is from RNAcentral.